RNAcentral lists this ribosomal RNA (1239 nucleotides) under metagenome. RNAcentral describes it as "bacterial LSU rRNA". It matches the Rfam family "Bacterial large subunit ribosomal RNA", at positions 1564 to 2813 of the family's 2925-position model. The record is from RNAcentral.
UGAAUACGAGAUGCUACGGCGUCGAAGCAGUCUAUGUCAUACUUCCAAGAAAAGCUCGCACUGUCAUAAACAAAUAAUGCCUGUACCAUAACCGACACAGGUGGGUAGGUAGAGUAUACUAAGGGGCGCGAGAUAACUCUCUCUAAGGAACUCGGCAAAAUGACUCCGUAACUUCGGGAGAAGGAGUGCCUUAUUUAUAAGGUUGCAAUAACAAGAUCCAAGCAACUGUUUAUCAAAAACACAGGUCUCCGCUAAGUCGUAAGACGAUGUAUGGGGGCUGACGCCUGCCCAGUGCCAGAAGGUUAAAGAAGUUGGUUAGCAUUCGCGAAGCUGAUAACUGAAGCCCUGGUGAACGGCGGCCGUAACAAUAACGGUCCUAAGGUAGCGAAAUUCCUUGUCGGGUAAGUUCCGACCCGCACGAAAGGCGUAAUGAUUUGGAUACUGUCUCGGAGAGGGGCUCGGUGAAAUAGACUUGUCUGUGAAGAUGCGGACUACCUGCACCAGGACAGAAAGACCCUAUGAAGCUUUACUGUAACUUGAGAUUGAAAUUGGACUUUACUUGCGCAGUAUAGGUGGGAGGCGUUGAUAAUAUUCUUGCGGGAUUAUUUGAGCCAUCAGUGAGAUACCACUCUUGUAAUGUUAGAUUUCUAACUUUGUAUCAUUAUCUGGUCAAAGGACAGUUUCAGGCGGGCAGUUUGACUGGGGCGGUCGCCUCCUAAACGGUAACGGAGGCGCACAAAGGUUUCCUCUGAACGGGUAGAAAUCGUAUCUAGAGUGUAAAGGCAUAAGGAAGCUUGACUGUGAGACCUACAAGUCGAGCAGGGACGAAAGUCGGUCUUAGUGAUCUGACGGUGCUGAGUGGAAAGGCCGUCACUCAACGGAUAAAAGUUACUCUAGGAUAACAGGCUGAUCUCCCCCAAGAGUUCACAUCGACGGGGAGGUUUGGCACCUCGAUGUCGGCUCAUCGCAUCCUGGGGCGGUAUUACGUCCCAAGGGUUGGGCUGUUCGCCCAUGAAAGCGGUACGCGAGCUGGGUUCAGAACGUCGUGAGACAGUUCGGUCCAUAUCCGGUGUAGGCGUUAGAAUAUUGAGAGGAGCCUUCUUUAGUACGAGAGGACCGAGAAGGACAUACCUCUGGUGUACCAGUUAUCGUGCCAACGGUAAACGCUGGGUAGCUAUGUAUGGAGUGGAUAACCGCUGAAAGCAUCUAAGUGGGAAGCCCACCUCAAGAUAAGUAUUC